CCUACGGGGGGCAGCAGUGGGGGAUAUUGGACAAUGGGGGGAACCCUGAUGCAGCGACGCCGCGUGAGUGAAGACGUAUUUCGGUAUGUCAAGCUCUAUCCGCCGGGAAGAAAGAAAUGACGGUCCCUGGAUAAGACGCCCCGGCUAACAACGUGCCAGCAGCCGCGGUAAUACGGAGGGGGGAAGCGUUAUCCGGCUUUACUGGGUGUAAAGGGAGCGUGGACGGCGAUGCAAGGCUGAAGGUAAAGGCUGGGGCUUAAGCCCGGAACUGCUUUGGAAACUGUGCGUCUUGAGUGCAGGAGGGGUAAGCGGAAUUCCUAGUGUAGCGGUGAAAUGCGUAGAUAUUAGGAGGAACACCGGUGGCGAAGGCGGCUUACUGGACUUUAACUGACGUUGAGGCUCGAAAGCGUGGGGAGCAAACAGGAUUAGAUACCCCUGUAGUC
Molecule: ribosomal RNA, 443 nt
Filed under: uncultured bacterium
Lineage: Bacteria
Description: partial 16S ribosomal RNA
Rfam family: Bacterial small subunit ribosomal RNA
Source: RNAcentral